GACGUGUCCCUCACGUAGGUGUGAGGAAGAGAAAAAGAGAGCCUCUCUGACUCCUUGCUUAUGGUUUGCUGCCCUGGACCCUUUUAUGGAAUGGUAUCUCGGUGAACAAGGUAGCUGUGUCACAGAUAUUCCGUUAAUAUACGUGGGAUGAAAGCCAAGCCCUUUCUUCUUCUUUCGGACUGGGAUUCGAUUUUUCAACUUCCAGAUACGGUUCGACAGAGGAAGCCGCGACUGAAGCGACUGUGAGAAAGAAAGAAUCUAUCGAACUUGGACCCCAUAGGAGUCAACCACAGACGGUUCCGCUCUAUUGUCG
This 313-nucleotide unclassified non-coding RNA is filed under the name Hevea brasiliensis (rubber tree). Lineage: Eukaryota; Viridiplantae; Streptophyta; Magnoliopsida; Malpighiales; Euphorbiaceae. The record is from RNAcentral.